RNAcentral lists this non-coding RNA (23 nucleotides) under Cricetulus griseus (Chinese hamster). Lineage: Eukaryota; Metazoa; Chordata; Mammalia; Rodentia; Cricetidae. The record is from RNAcentral.
GAACUAGGAGUUGGAAUAGGAGC